GAAGAUGAGAGGAUCCGUGAUGAC
RNAcentral lists this non-coding RNA (24 nucleotides) under Arabidopsis thaliana (thale cress). Lineage: Eukaryota; Viridiplantae; Streptophyta; Magnoliopsida; Brassicales; Brassicaceae. The record is from RNAcentral.